This 196-nucleotide non-coding RNA is filed under the name Clostridiales bacterium. RNAcentral describes it as "6S RNA". It matches the Rfam family "6S / SsrS RNA". From Rfam's summary of the family: E. coli 6S RNA was the first non coding RNA to be sequenced, but its function was unknown until recently. The record is from RNAcentral. Lineage: Bacteria; Bacillati; Bacillota; Clostridia; Eubacteriales.
GUGACCCUGCUUGGUGCGUGAUCGGGUUUUGUUAUUAACCCACAAUUAAUAACAAACAGGUAAUCGGGUCCCGGAGCGGUUUGCAGGCCUCCCGGCAUUUGGUGUCGGACGUUGGAAGCAGUAAUGUUUUGGGUAGGUUUCCGCCCAACAACAGUUGGUUAUUAAUUCAACCUGUCACGGCCGAAGUGGGGAAAAC